AUGAAGCAGCCGAGGUCGCGGCAGGAGCCGCGCCGGAUGGGCAACUCCGCCAUGGUCGUCACCAUGCUGCUCUCCCUCUGCGUCCUCACCUUCAUCAAGGCCCGCUACUGCUCCACCCCGUACCCCAACAAGCCGGCGCCGCUGCUGGACCUGGAGGUGGAGAUCGACGAGGACUACGACAGCAGCCGGUACAAGAUCUCCGGCCCCAUCGGGGAGGAGGAGUUCGACCCCAGCCGCCCCACCUGCUACAACACCAGCAAGCGCUCCGAGCGGUGCGCCGCCGUGGGCGACGUCCGGGUCGACGGCAACCACUCCAAAAUCUACAUCAGCCCGCUGGGCAAGGAGUGGCGGACCAAGCCGUACGCGCGCCGCCACGACGCCGUCGCCAUGGACGACGUCCGCGAGUUCGCGCUCCUCCCCUUCGGCGGCGCCAACGACACCGCCGUGCCGCCGCUCUGCACCAGGAACCACUCCGUCCCGGCCUUCCUCUUCUCCAGCGGCGGGUUCGCGGGCAACCUGUACCACGACUACACCGACGUGCUGGUGCCGCUCUUCACCAGCACCCACCACUUCGGCGGCGAGGUGCUGUUCCUGCUCACGGACAUCAAGGACUGGUGGCUGGACAAGUUCACGCCGCUCUUCCGCCAGCUCUCCAACUACGACGUCAUCGACGUGGACAACGACCAGGAGGUGCACUGCUUCUCGCGCAUCGUCAUCGGCUCCACCUUCCACCGGCCCAUGGGCAUCGACGGCACCCGGUCCCCGGGCGGCGAGACCGUGGCCGACUUCAAGCGCCUGCUCCGGCGCGCCUUCCGGCUGGACCGCGUGGUGGCGUCCCACGACGGGGCCGCCAGCCUCGGCAAGCCGCGGCUCCUCAUCAUCUCCCGCAAGUCGUCGCGGCGGUUCCUGAACGAGCGCGCCAUGGCGCACGCGGCGGCGGCGGCGCAGUUCGACGUGCGCAUCGCGGAGCCGGACAACCACACGGACAUGCCCAACUUCGCGCGGCUGGUGAACUCGGCGGACGUGAUGAUGGGGGUGCACGGCGCCGGGCUGACCAACAUGGUGUUCCUGCCGAGCCGCGCCGUGCUGCUGCAGGUGGUGCCGUUCGGCGGGCUGGAGUGGCUGUCCCGGGUGACCUUCAAGGACCCGGCCAAGGACUUCGACGUGACCUACAUGGAGUACAACGUGUCGCUGGAGGAGAGCUCGCUCAAGGACCUCUACCCCAAGGACCAUUUCUACCUGAAGCACCCCUACGACGUGCACAAGAAGGGCUGGAACGCCAUCAAGACCACCUACCUCGACAAGCAGAGCGUCAGGCUCGACCUCGACAAGCUCACGCGCACGCUCCAGCACGCGCGCAGCCUCCUGCCCUCCCCCUCCCCCUCCUCGCACUGA
This 1395-nucleotide ribosomal RNA is filed under the name Triticum aestivum (bread wheat). RNAcentral describes it as "partial small subunit ribosomal RNA". The record is from RNAcentral. Lineage: Eukaryota; Viridiplantae; Streptophyta; Magnoliopsida; Poales; Poaceae.